AUGGUGCAUCUUCCCUGGCAUUGUGGGAUCCCCAUGAGCUCAUCCCAGCAUCGAACAUGGAUGGGAGCAACUCAGGGAACACAACAUCACCUUCCCUUCAUGACCCUCUGCAUGAGGCUGCUGGAUCUGUGGCUGCAGACAUUGAAGGACUGCAAUGUCUCUCUGUAAAAAUGGAGACAGGUUACCUGAGCAAUGGUUGAGGAGAGGACUGCAACCAGGGUAUCUCAAUGGCAUUUGAAGCAUCACGUGAAAGAUCUGUUGCAGAGCAUGACUCUUAUUCUCCAGGGCAGUUGUGAUUGUCUCUCUUCAGUUCUCUCUUCUACACACUUUGGAACUCUUUUGUGUAAGAGGUUGGUGAAGUUCAAUGCUGAGUUCUGCAGGAUUGACUUGGAGAUGCUUCCUUUUGACUUUGAUGCCUGGUUACUUGGAAAGCCCAACAACAGCAUGGAUUUAAGAAUCUGCCUUGUUAAGUACCUUUGA
This 480-nucleotide long non-coding RNA is filed under the name Manacus vitellinus (golden-collared manakin). RNAcentral describes it as "lncRNA (ENSMVIG00005006379.1)". Lineage: Eukaryota; Metazoa; Chordata; Aves; Passeriformes; Pipridae. The record is from RNAcentral.